GGGGAUAUAGCUCAGUUGGUAUAGUAUUUGCCUUGCAUGCACAAGGCCCUGGGUUCAAUCCCCAGUACCACCA
RNAcentral lists this transfer RNA (73 nucleotides) under Marmota marmota marmota (Alpine marmot). It matches the Rfam family "tRNA". Rfam says of the family: Transfer RNA (tRNA) molecules are approximately 80 nucleotides in length. The record is from Rfam by way of RNAcentral. RNAcentral also lists the same sequence under 1 other name. Lineage: Eukaryota; Metazoa; Chordata; Mammalia; Rodentia; Sciuridae.